AACUGAAGAGUUUGAUCAUGGCUCAGAUUGAACGCUGGCGGCAGGCUUAACACAUGCAAGUCGAGCGGAGGUGAGGUGCUUGCACCUUAUCUUAGCGGCGGACGGGUGAGUAAUACUUAGGAAUCUGGCUAUUAGUGGGGGACAACAUUUCGAAAGGGAUGCUAAUACCGCAUACGUCCUACGGGAGAAAGCAGGGGAUCUUCGGACCUUGCGCUAAUAGAUGAGCCUAAGUCGGAUUAGCUAGUUGGUGGGGUAAAGGCCUACCAAGGCGACGAUCUGUAGCGGGUCUGAGAGGAUGAUCCGCCACACUGGGACUGAGACACGGCCCAGA
This 331-nucleotide ribosomal RNA is filed under the name Acinetobacter ursingii. RNAcentral describes it as "bacterial SSU rRNA". It matches the Rfam family "Bacterial small subunit ribosomal RNA", at positions 1 to 335 of the family's 1533-position model. The record is from RNAcentral. Lineage: Bacteria; Pseudomonadati; Pseudomonadota; Gammaproteobacteria; Moraxellales; Moraxellaceae.